UUGCAGUUAAAAAGCUCGUAGUUGAAUUUCUAGUCAACCGUUAGCUGGCUUCACAGUCGUUAACGAUUGCCUAUCCGACAUUGAACUAUAGUGGUUAUUAAGUUAACCCUAUAGCGAACUGUCAUUUUACUUUGAAAAAAUUAGAGUGUUUCAGGCAGGCAAUUGCCCGAAUAUCUUAGCAUGGAAUAAUGGAAUAGGACUUUGGUUCAUUUGAUUGGUUAUUGAAUCAGAGUAAUGAUUAAUAGGGACAGUUGGGGGCAUUAGUAUUUAAUUGUCAGAGGUGAAAUUCUUGGAUUUAUUAAAGACUAACUUAUGCGAAAGCAUUUGCCAAGGAUGUUUUCAUUAAUCAAGAACGAAAGUUAGGGGAUCAAAGACGAUCAGAUACCGUCCUAGUCUUAACUAUAAACUAUACCGACUCAGGAUUGGCGAUGCCAUAAGCUUCGUCAGCACUGUAUGAGAAAUUAAAGUCUUUGGGUUCUGGGGGGAGUAUGGUCGCAAGGCUGAAACUUAAAGGAAUUGACGGAAGGGCACCACCAGGAGUGGAGCCUGCGGCUUAAUUUGACUCAACACGGGGAAACUUACCAAGGCC
RNAcentral lists this ribosomal RNA (589 nucleotides) under uncultured marine eukaryote. Its description in RNAcentral is "SSU rRNA". It matches the Rfam family "Eukaryotic small subunit ribosomal RNA", at positions 613 to 1225 of the family's 1831-position model. The record is from RNAcentral.